This 507-nucleotide ribosomal RNA is filed under the name uncultured bacterium. RNAcentral's name for it is "partial 16S ribosomal RNA". It matches the Rfam family "Bacterial small subunit ribosomal RNA", at positions 28 to 507 of the family's 1533-position model. The record is from RNAcentral.
GACGAACGCUGGCGGCGUGCUUAACACAUGCAAGUCGAACGGGCCUUGUCCCCUUUUUUUUGGGGGUGGGGUUAGUGGCGAACGGGUGAGUAACACGUGAGUAACCUGCCCCUCACUUCUGGAUAACCGCUGGAAAGGGUGGCUAAUACGGGGUGUUCUGGCCUGCUCGCAUGGGUGGGUUUGGAAAGAUUCGACCGGUUUUGGUUGUUUUUGUGGGGGAUGGGCUCGCGGCCUAUCAGCUCGUUGGUGGGGUGAUGGCCUGCCAAGGCUUUGACGGUUAGCCUGCCUGAGAGGGUGGGCGGUCACACUGGGACUGAGACGCCGCACACACUCACACGGGAGGCAGCAGUGGGGAAUAUGGCACAAUGGGCGCAAGCCUGAUGCAGCGACGCCGCGUGAGGGAUGGAGGCCUUCGGGUUGAGAACCUCUUUCGCCAGUGAAGAAGGUCCUGCUCUUUGUGGUGGGGUUGACGGUAGCUGGGUUAAUGAAGCGCCGGCUAACUACGUG